This is a long non-coding RNA of Cercocebus atys (sooty mangabey), 9489 nucleotides long. RefSeq lists it as uncharacterized. The record is from RefSeq and is a predicted model, not a curated record. Lineage: Eukaryota; Metazoa; Chordata; Mammalia; Primates; Cercopithecidae. The transcript is spliced from 2 exons.
ACCUCAGCCUCCCAAAAUGCUGGGAUUACAGGCAUAAGCCACUGCGCCCAGCCUUGUUCCAUAAAUGUUUUAAAGAAGGACAUGCUCCCUGAAAUACAGCCCUUGGGCCAUUCAGUCUCUAACUCUGUCUCCGACAGAGACACUCAAGAGUGAGCUGGGAGAAGGCCUGGCCAUCUGACAUCACCUAGGAGGCUGAGGUCUGACCCACUCCUCCAGGCCCUAAGAAGUCUCGCAGAGAACCCAGCACUCAGCUACACUUAAGGCUUCCACAGCACGUUGUUACAGCAUCACCUCCAGCUCCCUACGGGCAGCCCACACACCUGGCCAAGGGACACUGGAGCAUGCACUCCCUGCACAGUCCUCUCAGCCACUCUGGCCCUUUGCUCAUGUUCUCCUCUUACCCCAGAACAACCUCCCUAGACUUCUCCAAGCUGUCCCUCAAAACCCAGAUUGAUCAUUUAAGAAUCUCCGUAGCAGAUCUUUUGUACUUGGCAUAUUGAACUCUGACCACAUGCUGGGCAGUUUGCUGGAUGACAGGAGUACCAAGAGGAUGAAAACACACGCCUGCUCUCAGGUCACUCAGACUAUUCGGGGAGGUGAGCAGAGGAACAAAUGGCUGCAACUCGCUGCACAGUCAGACUGGCAGGGGUGAGUCUCAGCUCCACGACACACUAGCCAGGUGACUUGAAGCAAGUCGCUUAACUUAAAAUGUCUGUUUCCUCUUCUAUAAUAUGAGGACAAGUGUGGUAUUGAUUUCAUCAGGCUAUUGUCACAGUUGUAUGAAUUAAUAUAAUUAAAGACAACAUUUACUGUACUCAAAAAUUACUGGAGGAAGAGAAAUGAAGGUAAUGCACAAGGUAUAUUACUUGGUUUUGUACCAAGUUCUUAUCAGAUUGCUUUCACUAGAUUGGUGCACUGUGCACAUGGCAGGCCCUCAAGAAAUGUUUGUUACCCUUCCUUGAACAUGCUCUACACUUCACCCAGCUUUUCUGUUCUCGUCAUCUCUUCAACACUGUUUGUAUAAAAAUUAUAUAUUCCUCAAGGAUGAGAUCAGAUGCCACCUCCCAUAAUUAGGUUUACAUGCUUCAUGAUUCCCAGACGAACAGCUUCCCUGUCCUGUUUUUGGAUCUCUCAGGCAUCUAAAAAGAGGUCUUCACCACCUUUAGUGAUACCCAUCCAUAUAGGUAUACUAUAUGCCCCUAUCAGACCACAGCUCCUUAAAGACAAAGACUGAGACUCAUGCUUUGUUCUUUGGGGCCAAGACUCUAGUGACAGAACAAUUAAAAAGCAGUGCUAUUUCUGUAGGGGAGCACUCCAAAACUCCGUUCCAAAACCUCUUUCUCAUAAGCGCGUGAGCCAGAAUGGCUUUCCAGAACCUCAUUUUUAUCAAAAAUAGAAGCCAAUCUGACCAUGCACACUUUAUAACACAGUGAAAUGGAACAUCCCAAACUUUUAUCAACACGCAUUUUCUAUUCCCUCUAUAUAAUAAAGGGUCCCAAUGUUCAUCUAACAUUUUUCUGAAAUCAGUAUGUAGCACUCUCCACUUCUGAAUCUGAUGGGGCACCAAUCAGUUUCACAGUCAUCACUGGAGAGACUCUGUGUCAGAUUUUGUCUCCAAUUGUAACACAGGAUCACAUGGUCACUCUACUGAGCUAUUCCCACCCACGCUGUUGGUUCUGGGGAUGAUGAAGGGGAAAAAAAUGGUUCUAGCACCUGGAUGCAGACCGUUGCAUGUUCGACAUCCUUUUCUUGUGCUCCAUAUGAAAUAUAUCCCAGAUCCUUCAUGGGCAACCCUCCACUGUCCAGUUUCAUAGGAGCACAGAAAACUAGUCCAUUCUCAAGUAGGUAGUACUUUCUGUUCCAUUUCAUGAACAAAAUAGAGAUGCAGCAAUAAAUUACAUGAUUUGAGCCCUCAUUAGUAGACAGUAAAUGUCAUAUUUUAUUAAAAAGCUAAUAAUCCAUUCAAUUUUUUAAAUUAGGCAAUGACUGUAAUAUAAUAAAUUUGAAUAAUUAAGCCUAAUAUUAAUGGAGCAAAAACAAGAGGGAAGAAAGUUCUAAAAUCUUUAUUUUUCGCUCCACAUAAAACAUGUUGAUAAUGAUCCCACGGGUGAAAGAAGUUUCUAUGUGCAUACCAGUGGGGUACUUAUUUGUCAAAGCAAGAACUCACACAUAUGCUUAGACAGCUGGAAAUCUCUAGGGAAGUACAGAGACCUCUCCUAACUCAGCCCUCACUAUUGACUCCUAGCUCUAUUUUUACCUGAUCUGUUUUUAUUGCUGGACUCCACUCUCUUUCCAUUACAUACAGCCUAAGAAUUUUCUACUCCAGUUAGAGAGCUCUGACUAAGACGCAAGUUCACAACCAGGAUGGUUGGUCUGUACAUGCUAUUUUCUCCCUGCUCAAUAAAAGGAGAGCAUCCUUGUGGUAGAAAUAGCUUGGUAUCUACAGCCAUACCACGCUGGACACACCUGAUCUUGUCUGAUCUUGGGAGCUAAGCAGGGUCGGGCCCGGUUAAUACUUGGAUGGAAGAAAUAACUUUGCGCAACAGUUCUAAACAAAGCACAGUCUGAACUUAUUCUUCCUGCCACACAGCCUUCCCACCACGUGAGGCCUUAACAUCAUCUCUGCUUGGAAACUCCACACCAAGGUUGCACCAUCAUGCCCUGAAGAAGGCAAGAAGCCUUUCCUUGGGCCACUGAGUACAGGCUUAUGUAAACAGGCAGUAUAACUCAGUAGGCAGAGAUGAAACAUUUGCACUUCUCUCCAAGCAUUUUAAAUGAGAAAGCAAAACUCAUUAAACAAGCUAAACACUAUUCUACAUUCUUAAGUGUCCAAACAAACUUUUCCCCAGUAGCCUGCACUUCUAUGGAUUUUGCGAUAAACCAAGGGGAAGGGAAGAGGAGACUUUCCUCCUAAGCUCAGAGAGAUCAAAGAGAACAAAGCUAGAGAGUGUGAGGGAUUCUGCUUGGUGAGCGUUUCUCAGCAGAGUGGACUUUCUGUGUCUGGGCUGCAGGCCCCUGAGUGUCCGGUGCUCUGAGGACACCUUCACCGGAAUCUGUAGAAGGUACACAUCAGAUCUGCUCCCAGUAAUAAUGCCUUGCUUUGCAGAGGCUGUUUUGCUUUCCCAGGCGCUUUCAUAUCUUGUAUUGAUCAACAAGCAAACACUUACUGAGCGCCUAUCAGAUGCAGGGCCCCAGGUGGAGAUCAUCUCACCGACAGAUAUCUCAUGGCCCCACUCUUCAGACAUAUGUGCCACUCUGAAAAGAAAAUAAGGCCCAGAUCUGCCUUCAAGAUGUUUAUAGUUUAUUUGGAGACACAAGCAAAGAGUCCCGUAGAAAGAGAAAUAAUACUGCAAAGCACUCUAUUUUAAGUUAGCCUUCCUUAAACUUUGAUCAUAAUCACAACCACAUUAGGAGCUUAUUAAAAAUCAAAGGGGCCUGGAUCACAUCUUUGGAGAAUCUAAUUCCAUGGGAAGGAAGCCUGGGUCCCUGUAUUUUUAACAAGCAGCCACAAAGAUCAAAAAUUUAAAACAUAAGGCAGUGCAUACGUGGCAAAUGAGACAGUCACUCAUGCUGGCCAAGGUCAAAGGACUCCAGCAAGGUCAGACAUAAAAGAGACCUGCAAGGGCAGACAGGAGGCUGAGAGCAGAAAGGCAGAAAGGAGAAAGGCAGGGAGUUGGCAGGGAGAGGGGGAUAGGGUCCUAAGAAAAAGUGCAAUACUCAUGUAGGGGGAAAGAAUGCAGAAAAUUCUGAAUGUAGGAGAAGGCUGCCCUAGAGGAUUGAGAGAUCAAGACAGACAGGUAGGUCUGGAGUCUGGGGCCAUGGGACUGGAGUCUGGGCCCUUAUAUUUUAUCAUUAUCAAAGUAAGGAGGAUCAUGAAUGACAGGUGUUUACUUUAGCCUGGAGGCAAAGGGUGCCUCAGGAAUGGCAGGGCCACGAGAGCAGAGAAUUUCAGACACAGAAGUCCGGUGCUGGGUUGAAACCAUCAGGAAGACCAGAAGCUGGGCCCAAAGUUCUAGUAAGAUAGUUUAAUAUCCUGUUCUACCCUCACCGCAGAUCAAUGAACUGAGCAAGAUAGAUAAUAUUAUCUUCUUUCUGUAGAGAGAAAACUGGGGCACAAAGUGGCCACACAGCAAGAGGAAAGCUGGGGAAGCCAGAACAGCCACGUGGCUGCACUCAUCUUUGACAAAUCAAUCCACUGCAUUUCAAGCCUAUUCAACAUACAUUUAUAGAGUGCCUACUACCAGCAAGAAACAAGCAGCAGCAAGAUUAAUGGAGUGCCGUUCCUGCCCUCAGGGAGCUCACCUCCCAGUGGAGGAGCUGGCAAACACUUUCUGUAAAGAACCGGAUAGUGAAUACUUCAGACUGUGCAGGCCAGUCUCUGUAGCAAAUGCUCACCUCUGACAUUAUAGCAAAAAAGUGGCCAUGCACAAUACAUGAACAAAUGAGUAUAUCUGUGUUCCAAUAAAACUUUAUUUACAAAACAGGCAGCGGGCCGGAUUCGACCUGUAAUGUGCCAAUCCCUGAUCUAGUGGGUAAAACAAACCCCUGCAUGGCUACUUAUAAAACAAGAGAGGUGUGUUAUAAAUAAAACGACUUUACAGCCCAAAGGAAAGAUAGAGUAAUUUAGUCUGGCCAUGGAUGACUGGAGAGGUAGCACUGGAGUGGGACAAGUCACUUAGUUUUCUAGGUCUCGGUUAAAACGAUGGGGCUGAAUCAGAAGCACAUGGACGGCCCUUCUUGUUCCAGCAUUCUCUGACUUGGAUGGUAGUGCUGCUUUCCUGCCCAGUCUUCCAACUGCACAAACAACGUGGCCUCUCCCAAGCUUCCUGGGCCUCUCCUCACCUCUACCAUCAAGUUUUGAAUGUUACUUAAGGAAUAAAAAUUCCUCGAUGAUCCUGGAAGGCUAAAUACACACACACGCACGCACGCACGCACAUGCACACACACACGCACAAAGUGUGUGUACGUCCUACCACUGCCAGAUGCUAAGUCUAAAUUUAUUUACAUUUCUAAAGGCUUUCUCCCUCCUUCCCAGAACCUCUCCCUCCUGAAAAAGGUCCUGCUGCUUCUAUCCUAGACACUUUAGCAAGACUCAAAUGUUCUUCCUGACCAAAUGCCCACCUCAAGAAGAACCCGGAGCCAGGAAGAAACCAAGGGUGGCCACACACCUCAUCUGUCCUGCUGUGCUGGUGCCAGGCAAGAAAACAGAAAUAGAGCCAUGGAGCCCAACAGCAACAUCUCACAUGGUGCCAGCAGGCAGUGAGCAAGGCCCAGGCAGAUAAACACAUUAAGGCAGGCUGUGCAGUGCAGGACACGUCCAGGCCUCAGUGACUUCAUCCCAGCCAGCCAAGGUCAACUCUAGUCUAAGGUUUAGUCAGCCUCCUCUUCUGUGGGCUCAGACUUCCCUGGUCAAGAUCACUCAUAUACCAAGAGGAUUGGACAAGGCCACGAGUGAGGCCAGGUGCCAGCAGGGCGAAGGCAGGCAAAAGGCACCACAGAUCUCAUGUGGUGGCAGCAAGCCAGCUGUGUAUGGAUUCAAGCCUCAGACCCACCUGUGAAAAUCCUACCCUACUCAAGCCUGACCACCUCCUCCAGGAAGCCCUCCUGGCUCUUGCUAAUUAGCAGCAACUUGUGUGUUCUCUGAACAUCUAAAGCAAUGCUUCCUAACAUAGGGUUAUGGGAUCAGCAUCAUCAAUCAGCAUCACCUGGGAAGUUGCUGGAACUGUUGUUGGAAGUUCUCAGGCCCCACCCAGGCCAAGCAACUUAGAAACUCUGAGGGUGGGACCCAGCAAUUGGUGUUUUAACGAUGUCCUCCUAGUGAUUCUAAACCAGGCUGUGGUUUGGGCGCCACUAAUACAAAGUCUAGAUUCUAAACCACUAACUGGACACCUGUGUUUUACAUGCAAUCCCUGUGCUCCUGGCUUCCCUGGGAAUGUGGUUGCAUUUCAGAGCCUGGAUCUCACAUGCCCAUAAUCCCCCACCUUGCCCAGCCCAGGAUGCCACAGCAAGUACUUCCUCGGCUAACACCUGUGGAAUUUAAUUAGCUUGAGUUCAGAUACCACCAUCAGGUUACAAAAUCAUGGAACCUGAAUGCUGAAAGAGGCUUUAGUGCCCAACCAGCCCAACUACCCAUCAAGGCUCUGCCAGGACCCAACUUCUCCGUGUUUCUCUCAGGUCAGGUCAGAUGCUCCGCAAAUGCCUGGGAGUUCAUAGUCUCAUUCCUUCACCCACAAAAUAUUGACUGAGCAUGGGUGCCAGGCACACACAGAUGUUCCUGCAUAUAAGUGAACCAGCAACGAGGAUCCUUGCUUGGAGGAAGCAGAUAUUCCAGUGGCAGGAGAGACCCAAUAAAUAGCAAUAAAUAAAUAAAACAAAAAACCCAUAUGCAUUAACCAUUAGAAAACAUCGGACACACCAAAAUAUAGGGACUUCCUAUGAAAAUAACUAAACAGCACUCUUCACCAAUGUCAAAGUCAUGAAAGAUAAGGAAAGAUGAGUCACAAAUUAGAGCACACUAAGGAGACAUGGUGGGUACAUGAAAUGUGGGACCCUGGACUGGAUCCUGGAAAAGACAAACAGCAUCAGCGGGAAAAGUGAUGACAUUUGAGGAAGGCUUACAGUUUGACAUGCAGUUUUAGACCAACAUGAAACUUGUUCUCUUCUAUAGUGAUAUAAGAUGUGAACAAUUAUGGGAAGCAGGCUAAAAGGUAGACAGGAAUUCUCUGUACUAAUUUGCAAAUUUUGUGUAUAAUAUUUUGACGGCAAAUCCAGUUGGGAACGAUGGUCCAAAUAAGAGGUGAGGUGCAUUUGGCAUCCUUAAAUAGAGGGGUGACAUGUGGGCAAGAUUACAUUUGGGCAAGACCCAAAGGCAGGAAAGGGGCCAACCAGUGGCACUGUGAAUGACAUGGGACCAAACUCAGUCUUGCCAGGAUGUUUACCUGCUUAUGCUUGUUCUUCUAUCCAGAUGAAUUCUGACCACGCUUUGAACACUUAUGACAAUGCUGGAGGCCCCUCAGUCUUCUCUUUGGAGGAGGUCUCACAGUCCUGCAGCUGUGCCCACUGAGUGUGCCCUGGCAGCCUGAGCCCCUGGAGUGGACAGUGAGAGACAGCACACAAAGGCAGUGGGGUCUGAUAAAGACCAAGGUUGAGACCAGAAGCACCUCCACCUUCUUUGUUCUGAAAUUGCCCUGGUCUCCUUUUCUUGACAGCAAACCACUUGAGUUCCUACUUCCUCCUGUCUUUGACCCGGUGUCCAAGCUUCUUAGCAUGUGAGCUUCUCCCCUAAGCACUGUCCACAUGCGCCCAGAACCUUGAGCAUUGGCGCUCAGAGCGGGGUCGACGCAAGUAAGCAGACAUGAGUCAGGCUGAGACUCCACCUAAUGACUAAGGAUCAACGUCCCACCCGAUGUUCCCAUGUCUAGCCCUUCAGAAACAACAGGGAACCAUAAUCCAAAGCAAAACAACCCACUCCCUAGGAAUGACAGCCCACAGUCCUGAGUUCUAACGACCUCAAAUAAGACUCUCCCUUCCAGGUGCCAGGUCACCAUCUAUAAAGUGAUACAGUUGGAUUAGUUAAUCCCCAAGAUGUUUUCCAGUUCUAACACUGAAUAAUCAGUAAUGUAUCAAAUGAAAUCAUGCAAGGUAAUUGCAGCUGUGAAGUACAAUGUGAGGUAGUAAUGGUAGCAGUGAUGAGAUCUAUGGGCUCCUCCCCCAACUGAAUCACCAGAAUUGCAAAUGGUGAUUGUUACUAUUAAUAUAAUAAUGUCUUAAAUUGCAGAGUACUUUUCCAUUUACAAAGCAUUUUUAUACACAUUAUCUUGUGUAAUCCUCAUAAGAACCCAGUGAGAGUGGUAGGAAAAAUGUUAUUUCUUUUGCAUAGAUGAGGAAACAAAGUUCAGUGGCUGUUCAAUUAGGAGUGACAGUACUCAGCCCGGAGCACAGGACUCAAUGCCUUAUCUUCUUUCUGCUGCUUAGUGCUGUCUUUGCUACUCCAACAACCUGUGCAACCAUCUGUGAUUUUGUGUCUCUAGGUUUUGACCAGGUUAGUUCAAGGCAUCUGCAUGAUAAGGAAACCCAGGCAUUCCCCUCGAGGGGAAAGCAUCGAAAGUGUGCCCAGAGCUGCCUUGGCUCGGUCCAUCCAUUGGGCUCCUGGGAGCACAGUCCUUUCCAGGAGGGGAGGUGGCAGCAUUCUCCAUUUGUCUCCUUGCAGCUCAAAAUAGAACAGAUGAGGUAUCACAGCUGAUCUCACUGCAACAUCAGAUGUUUUAAAAUAAUUAAAUAAAGAGAAAUGGAAAUGUGAAGAAAAAAGCCCCAAUUUUUCAAUGCUAGUGUCCCAUGGACGUGAUAAGAAAGGGACAAUGAUCAAAGUCAAGGUGAGGGGGCAGCUCCCACAGAAGUGCCAGGUUUAUAGCCGUUCUGUCCCCGCUGUCCAAGUCUUCCUACCAGUAGCAAUACUGUCACCCCUCACCAUUCGGCUGCAACCUACAAAAGGCAAGAGACAACUUCCUCUCUUGCCACACUCCAGGAUAGAAGAAGCACUCCAGUCAGCCACCAAUUUCCUCUCGCUAAGCAGCCCUGUUCUCCCAUGCCCACUACAUGCAGAGGGUGACCCAGGCACACCCAGAGUGAGUGCUCUUGCGUCCUGUCAGACAGGGCCGGCCAGCAUGAGAGCUCUUUGCUCAAGCGCCAUCUCCAUAUCCUUUGUGUCCCUACCUAAGUGCCUACAUUUGCCCAUGACACUUAUCUCCCUAGACCUCAGUCUCCACAGUUCUGAACUGGGAGUUAGAAGCACUCAUCUUACUUCCUCAUAGGGUUGUCAGUGCUAUGAGGAUGGAGUGAGAUCACACUUGAGAAAACACUUCAAAAAUUUACAUGUCCCACAGGGCACUAAGAGACCAUGGCUCAUCAAGCACCUGGUCAGGACUGAUGGCAAUGGUGUAUGGCUGGCCUUUCCCAGCCUCCCUCCGGUUAGAUGGAUUGGAAGAUCAAGUUCUGGCCAGCAGAAUGUGACCAGAGUAUCUACUCCGUAAAGCCUUCCCACACACGAUCCUGUUCUCUCUUUUUCUCCUCUGCCAGCUGAAGACGUAGAGGAGGAUUCUGGGUAGCUAGAAAGGACAGAGCCAUAGACACACCCUUUGAUUGUGUUACAUGGCUGGAGUUGGCGGUUGCUUGCUACAGCAGCUAGGCCACCUGGACUAGCAAAAUGUCCCAGUGGAAUAGCUGCCUAGAAAAUCCCACAAUGAGGCUGUAAAUUCAAGUGAGUAGAGAAAAAGGUUUUAGUGGCCAGACACGGUGGCUCACACAGGUUAGUUUAUCCAAUCACAGUAUCAAAUGCCUUCCUAAUGUGGACAGGCCAUGGUAGGCCACAUAAGAGACUAAUAAACCACCAGAAAAAAGUGGGGGACAAAAGACCUGAAAGACAAUUCACAAACAUAAAACAAAUAGCCCCUGAACAUGUAAUGUUCACCCUUACUCAUACAAAAUAAAUCA